Long non-coding RNA from Hippocampus comes (tiger tail seahorse), 855 nucleotides. RefSeq lists it as uncharacterized. The record is from RefSeq and is a predicted model, not a curated record. Lineage: Eukaryota; Metazoa; Chordata; Actinopteri; Syngnathiformes; Syngnathidae. The transcript is spliced from 3 exons.
AGGAUUGAAUUUUGUUGCUUUUCGCUGCAGGAAAACCACUGACAUUCCUGAAUACCACCAAGAGGAAGGCGAGCUAGUGGUUCCAAGCUACGGCUACUUCAUCCGAGGAGCUCAGACCACCUUUAACGGAGUGCUAAGGGAUCGCCAGUGGAAGUACAUCUUGUGCAGGAUGACCGACUUCGACUGUGAAUUUGAGAAUUUGUAGACGCGUCCGAGAGAAAUGGCAAAUUUGCCGCUACCCUUUGAUAUUGACAACCAUGUGGUUCGUAUGGUUACUUUUUCUGGGCCGAAUACAGGUCCGUAUAAUUUUACUUGCAUGCAAAACAGAAAAUGCACAUAAAAAAACUAAAAAACAUUUAAACAACAAGCGGCAUGAAGCUGCGGUCAGUUACAGGAAGUCCCUUUCAUGUCGGUUUGGAAACUACACACGCGUAUUGUUUGAAAACCACAAGAUUAAAACCAUAACUUUCUUCAUUCCGUCGUGUAAGCUUUUUUUAAUCCGGUCUGAUGUGAAUUUCUAUUCUCCCACCGCGUGGCAGAAAUAGUCCAACCGACUUAAAGCUCGAGGGGGUUUCACGCAUGCUCCAUUUAGUGCACUUUCCUCCUUGGUUCAGUUCACCCGGUCCGGUGCAAACUCCAGACAUCAAACUAGUCGAUCGGAUUCCUCAAGAACUUUGGCGGUUGGGUGAGAAAACGAUCCCACCUUGAGCUGAUCCAACUGAAAGAUGUAUCAGUGCCUCCGGAAUGUUCUAGGAUUGGAAGUUAAGGGCCCAGCACUUCUUGGUAGUUCCACUGGGAGGACACCGCAGCCAUUCCCAAAACCAGCCGAGAGACUCCCCGGACUGGCGGCUUUGU